Molecule: ribosomal RNA, 429 nt
Filed under: uncultured bacterium
Lineage: Bacteria
Description: bacterial SSU rRNA
Rfam family: Bacterial small subunit ribosomal RNA
Source: RNAcentral
UGGGGAAUUUUGGACAAUGGGCGAAAGCCUGAUCCAGCAAUACCGCGUGUGUGAUGACGGCCUUCGGGUUGUAAAGCACUUUCAGUUGUGAAGAAAUGUGCAUGGUUAAUACCCAUGUAAGCUGACGUUAACAACAGAAGAAGCACCGGCUAACUCUGUGCCAGCAGCCGCGGUAAUACAGAGGGUGCAAGCGUUAAUCGGAAUUACUGGGCGUAAAGAGUACGUAGGUGGUUUGUUAAGUCACAUGUGAAAGCCCCGAGCUCAACUUGGGAACUGCAUGUGAUACUGGCAAGCUAGAGUAUAGUAGAGGGAAGUGGAAUUUCCGGUGUAGCGGUGAAAUGCAUAGAUAUCGGAAGGAACAUCAGAGGCGAAGGCGACUUCUUGGGCUAUUACUGACACUGAGGUACGAAAGCGUGGGGAGCGAACAGG